Molecule: ribosomal RNA, 995 nt
Filed under: uncultured bacterium
Lineage: Bacteria
Description: bacterial SSU rRNA
Rfam family: Bacterial small subunit ribosomal RNA
Source: RNAcentral
UGGGGAAUAUUGCACAAUGGGGGAAACCCUGAUGCAGCGACGCCGCGUGGAGGAAGAAGGUUUUCGGAUUGUAAACUCCUGUUGUUGAGGAAGAUAAUGACGGUACUCAACAAGGAAGUGACGGCUAACUACGUGCCAGCAGCCGCGGUAAAACGUAGGUCACAAGCGUUGUCCGGAAUUACUGGGUGUAAAGGGAGCGCAGGCGGGCGAUCAAGUUGGAAGUGAAAUCCAUGGGCUCAACCCAUGAACUGCUUUCAAAACUGAUUGUCUUGAGUAGUGCAGAGGUAGGCGGAAUUCCCGGUGUAGCGGUGGAAUGCGUAGAUAUCGGGAGGAACACCAGUGGCGAAGGCGGCCUACUGGGCACCAACUGACGCUGAGGCUCGAAAGUGUGGGUAGCAAACAGGAUUAGAUACCCUGGUAGUCCACACCGUAAACGAUGAUUACUAGGUGUUGGAGGAUUGACCCCUUCAGUGCCGCAGUUAACACAAUAAGUAAUCCACCUGGGGAGUACGACCGCAAGGUUGAAACUCAAAGGAAUUGACGGGGGCCCGCACAAGCAGUGGAGUAUGUGGUUUAAUUCGACGCAACGCGAAGAACCUUACCAAGUCUUGACAUCCUGCGACGAUGCUAGAAAUAGUAUUUUCCUUCGGGACGCAGAGACAGGUGGUGCAUGGUUGUCGUCAGCUCGUGUCGUGAGAUGUUGGGUUAAGUCCCGCAACGAGCGCAACCCUUAUGGUCAGUUACUACACAAGAGGACUCUGGCCAGACUGCCGUUGACAAAACGGAGGAAGGUGGGGAUGACGUCAAAUCAUCAUGCCCUUUAUGACUUGGGCUACACACGUACUACAAUGGCGUUAAACAAAGAGAAGCAAGACCGCGAGGUGGAGCAAAACUCAGAAACAACGUCCCAGUUCGGACUGCAGGCUGCAACUCGCCUGCACGAAGUCGGAAUUGCUAGUAAUCGUGGAUCAGCAUGCCACGGUGAAUACGUUCCC